UAUUUUAACUUAAUCAAAAAUGACCAAGCUACAAGUAGGCAAAAUAUGAAUUGGAAGUCACUCUUACAUGUUUAUAGGAAUAAUAUUUCUACAGUCUGGUCAGAGUUUUUACCACAUAUUAUCAUACCAUGGAAGUUUUGACUAAAAUCAACAAGAUAAUCAUAAAUAUCAGCUACUGUAAUACAACGCCUCUAAAGUCCUGCUUAAUGCAAACCUUUUGAAAAGAAACUCACGGUAGUUUCAUCUUUCUUUCUGAUUCUAAAAAGGUGUAAUUCAUAUAUUUUUUCGGCUCUUACAGAAUGUUGGUUCACUUUAAAACUAUAGUUUUUCUGACUCUAAUGUCCUCCCUCCCUCCAGCUGGUUCCCCGUCCCCCCCCAGUCUGGAGCUGAUGGUGGCCACCCAGCCUCCUGUCCCGGGGCUGGGGGGGCCCACUCUGGUGUGCCUGGCUAAGGGCUUCCACCCGGCCGGGGCCGCCCUGUCCUGGUCCGAGGACGGAGCCUCUGUGAGGGGCGAGGAGGUCCGGGGGGGCGUGGCCCAGCGGCAGCCUGAUGGAAGCUACUCCCUUAGCAGCGUCCUCCUGCUGCCCUCCACAAGGUGGCGCUCAGGACACACCUUCACCUGCCAUGUGAGCCACUCUGCUCUCAGCAGCCCGCUGAGCAAGAGUGUGAGCAGCCAGCAGUGCUCCCUCUGACCGAGGACGAGAAGAUACAGGGAGCGCUACAGGAGGACGACAUGAGGAGAAAGAGAGUAGAGUACGCAACCUUUUAGCGGCUUGGUUGGCCUGAGAUCCAGGCUCAUGUCCUUCAGCUCCGAGUGAAAUACUUCACCAUGUUUUAAUGCUUUACUGUGUUCAAUAAAACUGCUUGAUCAUGA
This is a non-coding RNA of Gadus morhua (Atlantic cod), 874 nucleotides long. The record is from the annotation of a RefSeq genome assembly. NCBI's taxonomy places the organism in Eukaryota, Metazoa, Chordata, Actinopteri, Gadiformes, Gadidae.